Helianthus annuus (common sunflower) is the source of this 2138-nucleotide long non-coding RNA. RefSeq lists it as uncharacterized. The record is from RefSeq and is a predicted model, not a curated record. The transcript has 9 exons. NCBI's taxonomy places the organism in Eukaryota, Viridiplantae, Streptophyta, Magnoliopsida, Asterales, Asteraceae.
CCAAAGCUUUCGUCGCUGCUUCAUUCUUCUCCUUCACGCUUACAGACCCCGUUUCUGAUGUUCAUCCUUCUCCUUCUUCAACUUCUUUGAUCCAUCUGGUGGUUGGCGAACGACGUCAUGAGUUUGAUUUAGGUUGAUUCAUCGUAUUCAUUUCUUCAUCUUCUUAAUCUGGCUUGACUCUUUUAAUUUCAUCACUGGUGAUAUUCCCUUCAUCAUCAUCGUCAGUUCUUACAUCUCUUGAUUUUCUUCAAGGUAAAGUGGUGGCUCUUCUCUCAAACCCUAAUUCUCAAUUUUGCUUCAAUUAUCUGCAGUCCAAAAGACUACAAUUAUCAGAUUACCUCUACACCAUUCUAUUGUUCAUUUGGUAUCUGUAACCAGCAUGUUCCCAUUGAAGACGCCAAUAAGGUGAGCCAUCUUUCUACUGUACAGACAAUUCUACACAUUCAAAGAUAGCGAUUCAAUUCUUCGAUCAGUUAGUGCCUUAUGUAUUGAGCUCUUUUUGUUCCUUUGAACGAGACGGUUGCCAUCAAGGUUCUUGAUUUGGAAAAAGUGUAAUAAUGACCUGCUGUUGUAGGGUCCCUUCCCUCUUCUUUUUCGGGGUUGGAGAUGUGCCACAAUUCCAGGAUAAUUUGAGGGUCUAAUAAAAUGGCAAAAGGCAGUAUACAUAGGGCUCCAAACGACGAUUGGUUGCCAUUGGAAGGCACGAAAUGAAUGGGUUUUAUUACAAACGAUGCGGGACUGAGAACUUGACCAUUGUAAGAGCUUUUUAGUUUAAUUUGUUCCUUUGUAGAUUGGUUAUCUCGCUCAAAGUUGCGAUCCACACUGAUAGAUGACAAAGAAAUCAGAUGGAGCAUAAUGCCAGAGAUGUUACUACUCAAAUGCUACUGGGUAAAUGCUCAUUAUUACUUCAUUUUGUCAGUAAAAUGAAUAAAUUACUUAUUUUUAUGAUUUAAAAACAAGUGCCAAUCAUGGGAGAAGGAUAUUGAAAUGAAAGAAAUGGAAGAGCUUAUGGGCCUACUAACAUACUUGGGAAUUUUCUUUUUAGCCAGACCAUGCAGAAGAAAACAAUAUAACUGGUUCGGGUUGUAGGUUUGAAAAAAACCGAACCGUAUCUAUCUGUAACCAGAAAAAAUACGAACCGAGCUAUGAAUUUGGAUUGGUUUGGUUUUCGGUUCCACAAAUCUUGCUUAUUCAGAUAACUGAAACGAUUCGGUUAGACACAAUUGUAAUCGGGAUCGGUUUGGUUUCAGCUUAUCUCAAAUAACAAAAGACUAUCUUGUUGUGCCAUUUUUUUAAUUUUUUGAUUUUUUUAUUUUUUUUUAUUUAGUCAAGAUGGGUUAGGAUGGGUUUUAAAAUACCCAUCUAAAUUUUAACAUGGGUCAGGAUGGGUUUAGAUGACAAAUGUAAAAAUUCUUAUUGAGUGUAUGAUGGGCAUCACACAUGAAUUCAUUGUUUAUGGAGUGUAUGAUGGGCAUCACAUGUAUUAUGAAGCAGAUGACAAAUCAACGUUUUGGGGAUCGAUAAAGGAAGAUUAUGCUGCAAUUAAUCCUCCCAGUGGUUUUCAAGGUGGGACAUUAGUGCGAUGCCGCAACUACCAGAAUAUAUAAAACCAUUCUGCGAAAUUAUAAUGAAUUAGUAUGCUGAAUUCAACAAACAAGGAUUAACUGAUCUUACUGAGGCUUCAAAAAAAACUGUUUUGACAAACCAACGCACUCUAAUUUUCAAUUGCAUAUUCAGCUCCAGAGAGAGAGAUUUAAGGCUCAGAUUCCUCUUUCCGGUUAUCAGAUCUCUGCCGUGAGCCGGCCCCAUGGUGUCUUCCAGACCCCCCGGGUAGCGUGGCUCGGUGGGUUGGGUACAAUCGGGUGCAAUCGAUGAUGGGAAACGGAUCUUUUUACAAUCCUGAAAAGAUUAUUGGGGUUGAUUGUUGUGAGAAAUCAUAUUGAAUCUGAAUAUAACUUCAUGUAUUUUAUUUUUGUGAGAACCGUAGACUUCUAAAACGUAGUGAAGAAGUCUUUUUUCAAGUUUAGGGACUUAUUCAUGAAAAAAAGACUUUUUCAUUUAUAUUUUGAUAUGUACAAGGAUUUUAUCUCCCAAAAUAGAAAUUUUAUGUUAGUAACAAAGCGUGAGGACUUUAUUGU